This 308-nucleotide ribosomal RNA is filed under the name Cambarus cracens. RNAcentral describes it as "partial 12S ribosomal RNA". The record is from RNAcentral. Lineage: Eukaryota; Metazoa; Arthropoda; Malacostraca; Decapoda; Cambaridae.
AAAUUUAAAGAAUUUGGCGGUGUUUUAGUCUAGUUAGAGGAACCUGUUUUAUAAACGAUACAACACGCAUUAUCUUACUUGUUUUAGUAAUUCAGCUUGUAUACCGUCAUUAUAAGAUAAUUUAGGAGAGAGUAUUGUUAGAAUCAUAUUAUUGAAUAUAUUAGAUCAAGGUGCAGCUUAUAGGUAAGCAAACAUGGGUUACAAUAAAAUUUAUUUAAUAUGGAUUAGGUAUUUAAAUGUAUUUAUGAAGGAGGAUUAAAUUGUAAGAAAAGAAAUAGUAAGAUUUUCUGAUAGAAGCUCUAAAUUAU